Molecule: RNA transcript, 3128 nt
Organism: Pongo pygmaeus (Bornean orangutan)
Lineage: Eukaryota; Metazoa; Chordata; Mammalia; Primates; Hominidae
Gene: ARMC3
Gene name: armadillo repeat containing 3
Exons: 20
Source: RefSeq, a predicted model, not a curated record
ACAACAAGGGACUGGGGGUUCGUCUGCUGGGUUUGCGGAGCAGCUAGCUCCUCGGCGGGAUCUCCCGGCAGGAUGGGUAAAAAGAUAAAGAAGGAAGUAGAGCCUCCUCCUAAGGAUGUGUUUGAUCCAUUAAUGAUUGAAAGCAAAAAAGCAGCAACUGUCGUGUUAAUGCUUAAUUCUCCAGAAGAAGAAAUUUUGGCUAAAGCAUGUGAAGCCAUUUAUAAAUUUGCUUUAAAAGGUGAGGAAAAUAAAACAACCCUCCUUGAACUUGGAGCUGUGGAACCUUUAACUAAGCUACUCACCCAUGAAGACAAAAUUGUAAGAAGAAAUGCUACUAUGAUAUUUGGAAUCCUGGCUUCUAAUAAUGACGUUAAAAAAUUGUUAAGGGAGUUAGAUGUCAUGAAUUCUGUCAUUGCCCAGCUUGCUCCAGAAGAAGAAGUAGUUAUCCAUGAGUUUGCUAGUCUUUGUCUAGCAAACAUGUCUGCAGAGUACACCAGUAAAGUGCAAAUAUUUGAACAUGGGGGAUUAGAGCCACUCAUCAGACUACUGAGUAGCCCCGACCCGGAUGUAAAGAAGAAUUCUAUGGAAUGCAUUUACAACUUGGUGCAGGAUUUUCAGUGUCGAACUACACUUCAAGAACUAAAUGCAAUACCUCCUAUCUUAGAUCUCUUGAAGUCAGAAUAUCCAGUGAUUCAGUUGUUGGCUCUCAAAACCUUAGGUGUUAUUACAAAUGAUAAGGAGUCUCGAACAAUGCUAAGAGACAAUCAAGGAUUGGACCAUCUUAUUAAGAUCCUAGAAACUAAGGAAUUGAAUGACCUUCAUAUAGAAGCACUUGCAGUGAUAGCCAAUUGCCUUGAAGACAUGGAUACUGUGGUGCAGAUUCAGCAGACAGGGGGUCUUAAAAAGCUCCUGUCAUUUGCAGAAAACUCUACAAUUCCUGAUAUUCAGAAGAAUGCAGCAAAAGCCAUUACUAAAGCAGCUUAUGAUCCUGAAAAUAGAAAACUUUUUCACGAACAAGAGGUUGAAAAGUGCCUUGUAGCCCUUUUGGGUUCUGAAAAUGAUGGAACGAAAAUUGCUGCUUCCCAAGCUAUUUCAGCAAUGUGUGAGAAUUCAGGCAGCAAAGAUUUUUUCAAUAAUCAGGGAAUUCCACAGUUAAUUCAGUUGCUAAAAAGUGACAAUGAAGAGGUACGGGAAGCGGCAGCUCUAGCCCUGGCAAACCUAACCACUUGCAACCCUGCUAAUGCAAACGCUGCUGCUGAAGCUGAUGGUAUUGAUCCAUUAAUAAACGUCCUGUCUAGUAAACGAGAUGGAGCCAUUGCCAACGCUGCUACAGUAUUAACGAACAUGGCCAUGCAGGAGCCCCUGCGCCUGAACAUACAGAAUCACGACAUCAUGCAUGCCAUCAUCAGCCCACUGCGUUCUGCAAACACAGUCGUGCAGAGCAAAGCUGCUCUCGCUGUCACCGCAACUGCGUGUGAUGUUGAGGCCCGGACUGAGUUAAGAAAUUCUGGUGGAUUGGAGCCCCUGGUAGAGCUGCUACGCUCCAAGAAUGAUGAAGUGAGGAAGCACGCCAGUUGGGCAGUGAUGGUCUGUGCUGGUGACGAGCUGACGGCCAAUGAAUUAUGCAGGCUCGGGGCUUUAGAUAUCCUUGAAGAAGUUAACCUAUCAGGAACUCGGAAAAAUAAAUUCAGUGAGGCAGCUUAUAAUAAGUUGCUCAACAACAAUCUUUCCCUGAAAUACAGCCAGACUGGCUAUUUGUCACCAAGUAACAUAAUUAACGAUGGAUUCUAUGAUUGUGGUCGGAUAAAUCCCGGCACCAAACUGUUGCCUUUGAAGGAGCUCUGCUUACAAGAACCAAGUGACCUACGGGCUGUACUCUUAAUCAACAGUAAAUCUUACGUUUCUCCACCUUCAUCUAUGGAAGAUAAAUCAGAUGUUGGUUAUGGACGAAGUAUUUCUUCUUCAUCUUCCUUAAGAAGAUCGAGUAAAGAAAAGACCAAUGCUGGAUUUGGAUCUCCCAUAGAAGACAAAUCGGAGCCAGCUUCUGGACGAAAUACUGUUCUCAGCAAAAGCGCCACCAAGGAAAAAGGAUGGAGGAAAGGCAAAGGAAAAAAAGAAGAGGAAAAAGUGAAAGAAGAGGAAGAGGUUAUGGCGGUACCAAAAUUUGUUGGUGAAGGAAGCUCUGACAAAGAAUGGUGUCCUCCCUCUGACCCUGAUUUCUCUAUGUAUGUGUAUGAGGUGACCAAAUCAAUACUGCCAAUAACCAAUAUUAAGGAACAGAUUGAGGAUCUGGCAAAGUAUGUGGCAGAGAAAAUGGGUGGUAAGAUUCCGAAAGAGAAACUACCUGAUUUCAGCUGGGAACUUCACAUAAGUGAACUGAAAUUUCAACUUAAAUCCAAUGUUAUACCAAUUGGACAUGUCAAAAAAGGGAUCUUCUACCAUCGAGCUUUGCUUUUCAAGGCUCUGGCUGACAGAAUUGGCAUUGGUUGCUCCCUAGUUCGCGGAGAGUACGGUAGAGCGUGGAAUGAAGUCAUGCUGCAGAAUGAAUCUCGGAAGGGAGUGACUGGGGGCCUCCCCGCUCCUGAGAUGUACGUGGUUGACCUCAUGUUCCAUCCAGGCGGACUGAUGAAGUUGAGAAGUCGAGAGGCUGAUCUUUACAGAUUCCUUUAAGCCAUCAGACGAACACAAGAGAGGCUCAAACAAGAAAUUCACUGUGUACACUCUGCUUUUGGCAAGAGUUCUGUCUUAUUAGGUCAUUUUCUGCUCACUGACCCUCACAUAAAGCUGAUUGUUGUCGAAAUUCAUCCAGCCUACUGUGUCCUGAGGAGCGUCUCUGUCAUAUAGGAAUCACAUGUAGUGCUCAGCUGCUGCACCCAAGACAACACUGUGGCCUCAUGACUGUCAUCUUUCGUGCCCAGAAUGCUUCAGGCACGCUCAGUUAAGCAAACUAAGUGAAUUUUUAGUAUUUGCAGUUACCUUGUCUCAGUUUCAUUUAAGAUUUUGAUAGUUUAGAUAGAAUAAACACAGAUCUGUCUGAGUGUUAAAAAUUCCUUUCUAAAAAUUUUUGUUUCUAUUUUUAAAAAUUCAUCAUUAAAAACACUUUAAUAUAGUGAAUUAAAAAUAUUUCU